RNAcentral lists this ribosomal RNA (376 nucleotides) under uncultured bacterium. RNAcentral describes it as "bacterial SSU rRNA". It matches the Rfam family "Bacterial small subunit ribosomal RNA", at positions 29 to 419 of the family's 1533-position model. The record is from RNAcentral.
AACGAACGCUGGCGGCAGGCCUAACACAUGCAAGUCGAACGCCGUAGCAAUACGGAGUGGCAGACGGGUGAGUAACGCGUGGGAACAUACCCCUCGGUUCGGAAUAACUUAGGGAAACUUGAGCUAAUACCGGAUACGUCCGAGGUUUUAACCGGCCUCGGAGAAAGAUUUAUCGCCGGAGGAUUGGCCCGCGUCUGAUUAGCUUGUUGGUGAGGUAAUGGCUCACCAAGGCGACGAUCAGAGCUGGUCUGAGAGGAUGAUCAGCCACAUUGGGACUGAGACACGGCCCAAACUCCUACGGGAGGCAGCAGUGGGGAAUAUUGGACAAUGGGCGAAAGCCUGAUCCAGCCAUGCCGCGUGAGUGAUGAAGGCCUGG